This is a long non-coding RNA of Chelonia mydas (Green sea turtle), 502 nucleotides long. RefSeq lists it as uncharacterized. The record is from RefSeq and is a predicted model, not a curated record. The transcript has 5 exons. NCBI's taxonomy places the organism in Eukaryota, Metazoa, Chordata, Testudines, Cheloniidae.
GUUCGGUGGAUGCUCAGAACAUUUGCCCAUGGCUCUGAUAGAGCCUGUUCCUGCCUGGGACCCAGCCUUGCCUUACUUCAGGGCAAUUUAUUCGCCAUCAGAUCGAGUUUCUUCUUCUCUGCCAACAAAAAUACCAAUUGGGAAAUAAAUUUCAAAUGAGUUACUCUGUUUAAAAUCCUGGUUUCCUGACUAUGUAUGAAAGGCCAAAUUCAUGGAAACAGAGCAAAGAAGAUACACCUUGCUCCACAUGAAAGCCCCACAGGAUUGAGGAGUGGACUCAGUCUCAACUACUCAGGAUAUCUGGUUAGCUGGGCCACAGCUACUAAUACAUGCCAAGGAGGAAGUCAAGAUGCUGACAAGGAGAGGCAAUUACAGGGUGGGGAAAUGGUCCAUGGACAUAGACUGAGGAGCGUCAUGUGACAAUGAUCUAUUCCAACUCCCCGCAGACAUAUCACUGGCUCCAGAGGAAUUUAAAUGCAAUUGCAUCAGCAGGCAUCUGUGU